UAGGGAAUUUUCGGCAAUGGGCGCAAGCCUGACCGAGCAACGCCGCGUGAGUGAUUAAGGCCUUCGGGUUGUAAAGCUCUGUUGUAAGGGAAGAAAAAUCAGUAGAGGAAAUGAUACUGAUCUGACGGUACCUUACCAGAAAGCCACGGCUAACUACGUGCCAGCAGCCGCGGUAAUACGUAGGUGGCAAGCGUUAUCCGGAAUUAUUGGGCGUAAAGGGUGCGUAGGCGGUUUAUUAAGUCUAUGGUGAAAGUGCGGGGCUCAACCCCGUAUGGCCAUAGAAACUGAUAGACUAGAGUGCAGGAGAGGGCAAUGGAAUUCCAUGUGUAGCGGUAAAAUGCGUAGAUAUAUGGAGGAACACCAGUGGCGAAGGCGGUUGCCUGGCCUGUAACUGACGCUGAAGCACGAAAGCGUGGGGAGCAAAUAGG
Molecule: ribosomal RNA, 428 nt
Filed under: Microvirga ossetica
Lineage: Bacteria; Pseudomonadati; Pseudomonadota; Alphaproteobacteria; Hyphomicrobiales; Methylobacteriaceae
Also listed under: 1 other name
Description: partial 16S ribosomal RNA
Rfam family: Bacterial small subunit ribosomal RNA
Source: RNAcentral